AGAAUAAAACGCCCCGCGCCCGCGCCAAUUCUCUUCCAUUAACCUUUCGUCUGUUCGCAGGUAAGUACCUAACUUCGAGAUUCUACGUGACUUCGUGCCUCAACAUGUUCCAAGCAUCAUCAAGCAACAAUGGCGGCAACGCAGCGGCAAUGGCGUGCAUCGCUACCGAUCGCAGAAGACGGACAAACAACACAAAAUAAUAGGUUUAAUAUGACAACAUUAAAUCACAAAAACGCCACAAUUGAUUCCCAGUAGAAAUAGGAAAAUAUAAAAGACCAGUUUCAUCCAUAGGAAGAAAGAUACUACUUAUUUUACCAAUAAAAGGACUUGAGGGCAAAAUAUUUUACAUAUUAGGUACAUAUAAAGUUUUGAUGAAGAAUUUUGAUGAGAAAAAAUAUCAAAAAUGCCACAAAUUACUCUAUAACAUAAAGACAGUUUCAUCAGGAGGAGGAAUGACACAACCAAUAAAAGGAAUAAUUGAAGUCAAAAUAUUGUACAUAUAUAAAACAGGCUUUGUAUCAGUACAAAAUGGAAUCACCAGUUAACCAGACGCGCCAGGUGCUCAAAGCAGCGUCACUAAGAAGAAACACGUGAAAGCACGAAACAGACCACCAUCGUGCUCCGUGGCUUAAUCCGCAUUGUUACGCUCCUAUUGGUCUUAGCAAGAUGUUAUAUAAUAUGUUUAACCUUUAAUAUGUUGAUCCGACCUGUUUUUAUAAUAUCUAUUCAAAAUUUUAAGUUUAUCCAUGCACUACUGUUUACGUCUAGCCCGGGGUAGCAUAUUUUUUGCUUCGAUUAUUAUUUUGUAAAUCGCACCCAAAAAAUAUUCAAGUGUAUUUUCCUACGUUUUUUUUAUGUAUAGAUUUUAUUUUAGUUGUAUGUUAUUCGUUUUUUGUAUAAAUUUAUACCUAUAGAUUUUCUUUAAAAAUGAAAAAAUGUAUUACUGUUACCAUUAGUUGAAUAAUAUAGUUAUGUUAAUAAUAUAAUCAUGUUAAUAAAACCUUUUAGUUUCAAU
This is a long non-coding RNA of Colias croceus (clouded yellow), 1015 nucleotides long. RefSeq lists it as uncharacterized. The record is from RefSeq and is a predicted model, not a curated record. The transcript is spliced from 6 exons. Lineage: Eukaryota; Metazoa; Arthropoda; Insecta; Lepidoptera; Pieridae.